ACGGAAGGCAGCAGUAGGGAAUAUUGCACAAUGGGCGAAAGCCUGAUGCAGCGACGCCGCGUGAGUGAUGAAGUAUUUCGGUAUGUAAAGCUCUAUCAGCAGGGAAGAAAAAUGACGGUACCUGACUAAGAAGCACCGGCUAAAUACGUGCCAGCAGCCGCGGUCAUACGUAUGGUGCAAGCGUUAUCCGGAUUUACUGGGUGUAAAGGGAGCGCAGGCGGUACGGCAAGUCUGAUGUGAAAGCCCGGGGCUCAACCCCGGUACUGCAUUGGAAACUGUCGAACUAGAGUGUCGGAGGGGUAAGUGGAAUUCCUAGUGUAGCGGUGAAAUGCGUAGAUAUUAGGAGGAGCACCAGUGGCGAAGGCGGCUUACUGGACGAUAACUGACGCUGAGGCUCGAAAGCGUGGGGAGCAAACAGGAUUAGAUACACUGGUA
Molecule: ribosomal RNA, 435 nt
Filed under: uncultured Lachnospiraceae bacterium
Lineage: Bacteria; Bacillati; Bacillota; Clostridia; Lachnospirales; Lachnospiraceae
Description: partial 16S ribosomal RNA
Rfam family: Bacterial small subunit ribosomal RNA
Source: RNAcentral